CGCUAGUAGUUGAAAUUUGGCAAUUAAGAUGGCACAAUACGGGGCUGAAUAUGGCAACCAAAAGAGCCAGUACGAUGAGUACGGAAACCCAGUUCGUCAGACAGACGAAUAUGGUAACCCAGCCCGCCAUGGAGGUACCAUGGGUGAUUAUGGAACCACUGGCACUACUGGAGCCUAUGGUGGCACAGCUGGAGCACAUGGGACUUAUGCAACUGGAACCACCGGCACUACCGGUACCGGUGCGUAUGCCACCCAGCCUGGCACUGAUGUGGGGAAGGAGCACCAUGGCCUUGGUGGCAUGCUUCAUCGCUCUGGUAGCGGUAGCUCUAGCUCGGUAUGCCCUCCUAAUUAAUCUCGUCUUGCUUAAAUUGUACUGAGUUGUAGUAGCAUUUAACAAAUCUUGACCAGCUUGUGAUGACUGGUAAUUAAAAAGUUCUUAUCUGUUUUCUUUUUGUUUUUUCGGUUGGGAUGCAGUCCGAGGAUGAUGGGCAAGGCGGGAGGAGGAAGAAGGGGAUGAAGGAGAAGAUAAAGGAGAAACUGCCUGGCGGUCACAAGGAGGCUCGACCUGGACAAGAAUAUUCGAGUGCUACUACAGCUCCUGGAUACGGCGGGGAAGGAGAGCAGCACGAGAAGAAAGGAAUUAUGGAUAAAAUCAAGGAGAAAUUAC
Molecule: long non-coding RNA, 667 nt
Filed under: Coffea arabica (coffee)
Lineage: Eukaryota; Viridiplantae; Streptophyta; Magnoliopsida; Gentianales; Rubiaceae
Description: long non-coding RNA (CARA_LNC004902)
Source: RNAcentral